RNAcentral lists this long non-coding RNA (1703 nucleotides) under Bactrocera latifrons. RNAcentral's name for it is "uncharacterized LOC108976435". Lineage: Eukaryota; Metazoa; Arthropoda; Insecta; Diptera; Tephritidae. The record is from RNAcentral.
GUCGCCGAUAACAGGGUGUUGCAAAGGCAUGGUGCUGUCAAAUCGACUGCGCUACCACUUCUGUUACGAAAAGCGCAUAUGACAGUUGGCAGCGUUCAUGGCGUGCUGGAAAGAAAUUUGCAAACACAAGUACCAACUGUGUGGGAAUUUUGCAUUGGAAGUGAGAAGACUAUGUAUAACAACGCCAUCGGAAAAUACCGGAUAAAUAUCCACCCGAGCACUGGAAGUUUUGGCGCAAAAACAUUUAAAGCGUUGCUUUAUCAAACUAACACAACAGGAAAUAAUUUUUGCAGUAUAUUUUAUGAUAACAGCUAGUGAACUUUUCAAAUAUACCAUCUGAUUUUGAUUUUGCAGAUUGAAAUUUGAUCCAAACUACUAAUCCCUUUAAAGUAACUAUAAGCAAACGUUGGGAAACCAUUUCUUCCUUGAUUAGUACAACGUUUUUUAUGUUCUUGUGAAGUUUGAUCUCCAUGUGUCAAAAAGUAUAGAAAAUGCAUCUUUAUUUAUUAUAAUUUUUUUUUGCUAAAUUCAAAUCUACAUCUAAAUCUAAAAAUCAAAUGUAUUAGAAUAUGUGUGUUAAAGGGUAUCUUAAAGUUUACACCACUAUUCACGUCAGCGAAGAAAACUUUGUAAGUCAUGCGGCCCAGUUGACUGGUGCUAAAAACUUUGUGAGUCAACAAAAAUAAACAUUUUAACACAAACAACGAACCAUAUGGUGCAAAAAUAAAAUAAACAUUAAUUUACUAGUUGGAUGAAUCAAAUCGAAAUAGUUGGUUUAACUUCGUAGUAGCGGUACCUGCAACUAAAGUAAACUUCAGUAAUAAAAUUCCAACAUACAUACACAAAUGUGAGAAGUACGAAAUCAACAUGCUGUUAUUUAAAGCAAAUAGGAGUGAAGUGACUAACACAAGGUAGAAAUAUUACAGCCAGACUAGCGCUAUUUACGUAAAACAUGUAUGCAUAUUUGUCUUUUGCAUGCUUCAAGGCGCUUAGAUACUGUGUUCUGUCUAGUGAUUCGAGCAAAAUGCAUAAUUGUAAUAAGCAUAUGUAUGUUUUUACUUUUUAGUAUGAAAAUACCGAAAAAGAUGUAUGAAAGUUCGCGUGCUGCAAACACGAAUGUAUGCAUAUGUAUCUAUGUAUGUAGAUCUUAUAUGUACAUACAUAGUAUGUAUAUAAUAUGGAUAUAUGCAUUUGCAUCCCUUACUGCUGUACAAGUGUCUGUGCGUUUGCACACUCAUGACCGCUUGAGUAAAUAAUAAAUGGGCCAGACGUAGGCGUCAUUGAGUCUGGGCUGCAUUAAUAAUUCGCACAGUAUAAAGGAAAAGGAAAUACAAAAACAAAUUUCUUUUGGAAUGACGUUGAGCAGGCAAGCAGUGGGCGUUGAAGUCAGAUGCUAUAAUUUCUUUGUACAUUUAUUCGUAUUUGCUCGCAUAUUCUUAUACACGAAGUUUUGCUUAGGAAAUGGAUGAGUAAAGAAUUUCCACGCGUAGAGUAUAUUUGCCGAACGAAAUGCCUUCGUUAUGGCAUCAGACUUAUUUUUGUGAGAGAUGUUUGUAACUUCGAAAACUUUGUGUACAUUUUUAUUAUUUACCCAUAGUUUAGGAUGCACAAGUUGUGAGUAAACCUACGCUAUACAGUUAUAACUCUGUUUCUAAUUGCUAGAUAUGUAAAUAAAGAAAAUUAGACAAAAAACUUUUUUUAAA